This 492-nucleotide ribosomal RNA is filed under the name uncultured bacterium. RNAcentral describes it as "partial 16S ribosomal RNA". It matches the Rfam family "Bacterial small subunit ribosomal RNA", at positions 29 to 507 of the family's 1533-position model. The record is from RNAcentral.
AGUGAACGCUGGCGGUAGGCCUAACACAUGCAAGUCGAACGGCAGCACAGUAAGAGCUUGCUCUUACGGGUGGCGAGUGGCGGACGGGUGAGGAAUACAUCGGAAUCUACUUUUUCGUGGGGGAUAACGUAGGGAAACUUACGCUAAUACCGCAUACGACCUACGGGUGAAAGCAGGGGAUCUUCGGACCUUGCGCGAUUGAAUGAGCCGAUGUCGGAUUAGCUAGUUGGCGGGGUAAAGGCCCACCAAGGCGACGAUCCGUAGCUGGUCUGAGAGGAUGAUCAGCCACACUGGAACUGAGACACGGUCCAGACUCGUGCGGGAGGCAGCAGUGGGGAAUAUUGGACAAUGGGCGCAAGCCUGAUCCAGCCAUACCGCGUGGGUGAAGAAGGCCUUCGGGUUGUAAAGCCCUUUUGUUGGGAAAGAAAAGCAGCAGGUUAAUACCCCGCUGUUCUGACGGUACCCAAAGAAUAAGCACCGGCUAACUUCGUG